Molecule: unclassified non-coding RNA, 642 nt
Filed under: Leptinotarsa decemlineata (Colorado potato beetle)
Lineage: Eukaryota; Metazoa; Arthropoda; Insecta; Coleoptera; Chrysomelidae
Description: uncharacterized LOC111513287, transcript variant X2
Source: RNAcentral
AAUGCUUUUUGGAGGUUAUAUUUAUAUAAAAAAUCAGUGAAAAACUCCUGUUGAAUCCCAAAGAAAGAGUUGAAGUAGGCCAAUUCAUUCAUUGCUGAAAAUUUAUGGUAGAAGGAUGUGGCGUGAUUUCUUUUAAUUAAAAACCAUAAAUGGAGGAGUUACCGUUAUAUAUUCGUGAAAUAUGUUGUUCCCCGGGAGGGAUGUAUUUCCUUCUCCUUCUUUAAGUACUCCCCAGCUUUAUCCUUGCACCCACCAAAAUCUGUGACUCACAGCCAGCAUAAUCAGGGAAAUUACUGGGACAGGAUGCUGUUCCAGCCUCCGGAGUCUCCGAGGAGUUCUGUCAGUAAUAAUAGAGUUCUUCAUCCUGAUAAUGCAAGAUUUGGGUCAGGAGGAAGCGAGUCGAUGAACUGGCAGAAGGCGACUGAAGUUUGGGCUGCAAAUCCCAGAUCCACACUGAGAAGGGAGGGUCGAAAUAGCCCAAUAUCUAUGGAUCAGAGGACUCCUCGUACAAACGUCCCUCAACCCAUGUCAUUGGGUGAUGCCACUCCGCUGAGUGAUGGAAGCAUAUGAAAAUUUUAUGUUAGUUUAUGACAAACAAAUUAUGUGAAAUAUUUUAAAUGGAUUAUUUUCAAUAAUAUUUGU